GAGUUUGAUCAUGGCUCAGAUUGAACGCUGGCGGCAGGCCUAAGACAUGCAAGUCGAGCGAGAAAGCCCUUCGGGGUGAGUACGGCGGCGGACGGGUGAGUAACGCGUAGGAAACUACCCAGUAGUGGGGGACAACUAGUGGAAACGCUAGCUAAUACCGCAUACGCCCUAAGGGGGAAAGCGGGGGAUCUUCGGACCUCGUGCUAUUGGAUGAGCCUGCGUAAGAUUAGCUUGUUGGUGGGGUAAUGGCUCACCAAGGCUACGAUCUUUAGCUGGUCUGAGAGGAUGAUCAGCCACACCGGGACUGAGACACGGCCCGGACUCCUACGGGAGGCAGCAGUCGGGAAUAUUGCGCAAUGGGGGAAACCCUGACGCAGCCAUGCCGCGUGUGUGAAGAAGGCCUUAGGGUUGUAAAGCACUUUCAAUUGGGAGGAAAAGCUAAUGGUUAAUAGCCAUUAGCCCUGACGUUACCUUUAGAAGAAGCACCGGCUAACUCCGUGCCAGCAGCCGCGGUAAUACGGAGGGUGCAAGCGUUAAUCGGAAUUACUGGGCGUAAAGCGCGCGUAGGCGGCUCUUCAAGUCGGAUGUGAAAGCCCCGGGCUCAACCUGGGAACUGCAUCCGAUACUGGAGGGCUAGAGUGUAGGAGAGGGAGGUAGAAUUCCAUGUGUAGCAGUGAAAUGCGUAGAUAUAUGGAGGAAUACCAGUGGCGAAGGCGGCCUCCUGGCUUAACACUGACGCUGAGGUGCGAAAGCGUGGGGAGCAAACGGGAUUAGAUACCCCGGUAGUCCACGCCGUAAACGAUGUCUACUAGCUGUAGGGGUACUUGAGGCCUUUGUAGCGCAGCUAACGCACUAAGUAGACCGCCUGGGGAGUACGGCCGCAAGGUUAAAACUCAAAUGAAUUGACGGGGGCCCGCACAAGCAGUGGAGCAUGUGGUUUAAUUCGAUGCAACGCGAAGAACCUUACCAGGCCUUGACAUCCCCGGAACUCUCUAGAGAUAGAUUGGUGCCUUCGGGAACCGGGUGACAGGUGCUGCAUGGCUGUCGUCAGCUCGUGUCGUGAGAUGUUGGGUUAAGUCCCGUAACGAGCGCAACCCUUGUCCUUAGUUGCCAGCACGUAAUGGUGGGAACUCUAAGGAGACUGCCGGUGACAAACCGGAGGAAGGUGGGGACGACGUCAAGUCAUCAUGGCCCUUACGGCCUGGGCUACACACGUGCUACAAUGGCUAGGACAGACGGCUGCAAACCAGCGAUGGGGAGCUAAUCCGACAAACCUAGUCGUAGUCCGGAUUGGAGUCUGCAACUCGACUCCAUGAAGUCGGAAUUGCUAGUAAUCGCGAAUCAGAAUGUCGCGGUGAAUACGUUCCCGGGCCUUGUACACACCGCCCGUCACACCAUGGGAGUGGGUUGCUCCAGAAGUGGUUAGUCUAACCUUCGGGAGGACGGUUACCACGGAGUGAUUCAUGACUGGGGUGAAGUCGUAACAAGGUAACC
This 1494-nucleotide ribosomal RNA is filed under the name uncultured marine bacterium. RNAcentral describes it as "bacterial SSU rRNA". It matches the Rfam family "Bacterial small subunit ribosomal RNA". The record is from RNAcentral.